AUGGGGAAACUGAGGCUCAGAGACCAUACAUCUUCUGCAAGGCCAGAGAGGGUACCUGGAGAGCCAGGUCGAAAUGCAGGUGUGUCUGCACAAAACAAGGCUACAUACCCCUGGCCACCUGCGGAGCGGAGGCGCGGUGGGAAUCCGGGGGAGGGGCGGCCACGUUUCCGGGAAAGAGACAGCCCAGACCAGGGCCCACUUCAGUUCUUCGUUGUCCAGCGGCCGGUCACCAGAGGGCGGCCCCUUCAGUGGCCAAGUACUGGCAGCCCGUGCCUGUCAGAGGCAGGCGUCCAAGGCCCGCCCCCCUCAACCAGCAAACACACAACUGGGAAAUACUUGCCAGUGCAGCCUUUCCUGUGUGGCCACACUGGGCCAAGAACUGCACGCCCCAAAUGCCUGACAACCCAGGCUGCCGGGCAGGGAUGGAUGGGGCCCGGCAGGCCCAGCGGGCAGCUGCUCUCACACACACACACACACACACACAGUCACACAUCUGUGGGGGGGAGGGGCUGCAGAACCAGCCCAGCCGGUUUGGGAUUCCCGCCCUCACUGGGCUGCAGGCCAAAGCCCCCCAAGUGGCCCUCACGGCCUGGGAAAAGGGUUCACACCUACCUUGGAGGGAGGACUUUGAGAUUCAAACUAGGCCUGCUCGUGCUGUCCAAAGGAGGGCUGUUUAGGGCUCUGGAUAUGGCAGUGGUGAAAACACACAGUCAAAUCAAACAAAAGGCAAAAGCCACGCACCACCCUCCCAACCACCGCAGCAAAUACCCCCGAGUUAACGCUGGUGUUUGGCUGGAACCAGCUAGGACUUGUUUUCCAGUUUUAAUCUAGUUUCCUGUGACGGCUUUAGUCUCUCUACACAAAGACAAGGUCUUCCUCUCCCUCACCCACCCUCCAACAAGACGAGAAAAACAGAGCUGUUUUUCUUCAACUAGAUCGAUUUUCAAAGAAAGUGUACAUUCCUGGGAAGAAAGCUGGCUAGCAUGUAUUGCUGUAAACAUUUCCAGAAGCUUAAAGCUAAAAACCUUAGCUUUAUAAAAGCAAAAAUCGCCCAAAAGCAUUUUUUCUUUAAACUGGCUUAUAUCAGACAAGAGAAACAAAGACAUACAUGCAGAUGAAGGUCUGGAAAAUCAGGACAUCUCACCGACAUGAACAUGAAAACUGCACUGAGCAAGGGUACUUACAAUGUAAAAGGAUUUUAAAGACUUAAAAAGAGUAACAACUGCUCGCAAUUGUUUGUUGCUGCCAUUUCGCUAGUCCUAAAACUAUACACUUAAAAACAUUACCUUGUUAAAAAGAGAGAAGGAGUUAAUAAGAUGGCCAGGUUUAAGUGUUUAAUAGAGGAAACUAUAUAUAUAUAAAAAUUUAUUGUUCAGUCAAGAGAAUACAGAAUAAGACAGCCUCCAAGACCCCCACCCACCCACCCACCUACCCAAGAAAAAAUAAAAAAGAGGAAAAAAUUAAAUAUGUCGUUUAC
Molecule: long non-coding RNA, 1477 nt
Filed under: Oryctolagus cuniculus (rabbit)
Lineage: Eukaryota; Metazoa; Chordata; Mammalia; Lagomorpha; Leporidae
Description: lncRNA (ENSOCUG00000039056.1)
Source: RNAcentral